AACGCACAUUGCGCCCGCCGGCACUCCGGCGGGCAUGCCUGUCCGAGCGUCAUUUCAACCCUCAGGCCCGGCCUGGUGUUGGGGCCCUGCGGCCGCCGCAGGCCCCGAAAUGGAGUGGCGGGCCCGCCGCAGCCUCCGAGCGCAGUACGAUGCUCUCGCUAGGGAGGCGCGGCUCGGCCCCGCCGUCGGAGACGACGACCCCUUCUCGCAAGGUUGACCUCGGAUCAGGUAGGAAUACCCGCUGAACUUAA
This 251-nucleotide unclassified non-coding RNA is filed under the name uncultured fungus. Its description in RNAcentral is "partial contains 5.8S ribosomal RNA, internal transcribed spacer 2, and large subunit ribosomal RNA". The record is from RNAcentral. Lineage: Eukaryota; Fungi.